AGUGAACGCUGGCGGUAGGCCUAACACAUGCAAGUCGAACGGCCGCACAGUAAGAGCUUGCUCUUACGGGUGGCGAGUGGCGGACGGGUGAGGAAUACAUCGGAAUCUACUUUUUCGUGGGUGAUAACGUCGGGAAACUUACGCUAAUACCGCAUACGACCUACGGGUGAAAGCAGGGGAUCUUCGGACCUUGCGCGAUUGAAUGAGCCGAUGUCGGAUUAGCUAGUUGGCGGGGUAAAGGCCUACCAAGGCGACGAUCCGUAGCGGGUCUGAGAGGAUGAUCAGCCAGCCUGGAUCAGAGACAGGGCCCAGACUCUGACGGGAGGCAGCAGUGGGGAAUAUUGGGCAAUGGGGGAAAGCCUGAUCCAGCCAUACCGCGUGGAUGAAGAAGGCCUUAGGGUUGUAAAGUCCUUUUGUUGUGAAAGAAAAGCAGCAGUUUAAUACCCCGCUGUUCUGACGGUACCCAAAGAAUAAGCACCGGCUAACUUCGUG
RNAcentral lists this ribosomal RNA (492 nucleotides) under uncultured bacterium. Its description in RNAcentral is "partial 16S ribosomal RNA". It matches the Rfam family "Bacterial small subunit ribosomal RNA", at positions 29 to 507 of the family's 1533-position model. The record is from RNAcentral.